RNAcentral lists this transfer RNA (79 nucleotides) under Vulcanisaeta sp. EB80. Its description in RNAcentral is "tRNA-Leu". It matches the Rfam family "tRNA". From Rfam's summary of the family: Transfer RNA (tRNA) molecules are approximately 80 nucleotides in length. The record is from RNAcentral. Lineage: Archaea; Thermoproteati; Thermoproteota; Thermoprotei; Thermoproteales; Thermoproteaceae. RNAcentral also lists the same sequence under 1 other name.
GCCGGGGUGGCCGAGCCAGGUCCAAGGCGAUCUCCGCAGGCGCAAGGGGGCCCGGGUUCAAAUCCCGGCCCCGGCACCA